RNAcentral lists this small RNA (374 nucleotides) under Paenibacillus darwinianus. Its description in RNAcentral is "cspA thermoregulator". It matches the Rfam family "cspA thermoregulator". The record is from Rfam by way of RNAcentral. Lineage: Bacteria; Bacillati; Bacillota; Bacilli; Caryophanales; Paenibacillaceae.
AUAAGCAAAUUUGAACCUCUAUCACAUAUUGAAAAGGGUCGUCAUUUUUGUAAUGGUACCUUUUUCAAUGUGUGAUUUUUGUUCUUAUCAAAAAAAACAUGUUAAAUAAAAUCUUGGAGGUAAUCUUCAUGCAAACAGGAACAGUGAAAUGGUUUAACGCAGAGAAAGGCUUUGGUUUUAUCGAAGUGGAAGGCGGAAAUGACGUAUUCGUACACUUCUCCGCAAUUCAAGGCGAAGGCUUCAAAUCGCUGGACGAAGGUCAGCGCGUUGAGUUCAACGUAGUACAAGGCAACCGCGGACCGCAAGCCGAGAACGUUGUAAAGCUGUAAGCCAUAGCAAGCAAGCCGCCCUUAACGAAUGUUAAGGGCGGCUUU